This is a long non-coding RNA of Lagopus muta (rock ptarmigan), 1677 nucleotides long. RefSeq lists it as uncharacterized. The record is from RefSeq and is a predicted model, not a curated record. NCBI's taxonomy places the organism in Eukaryota, Metazoa, Chordata, Aves, Galliformes, Phasianidae. The transcript is spliced from 3 exons.
AGAAGAAAGGCAAGUGGGAAAACAAAUGCUUUUGAUUUAAAAUAAAAUAAAUAAAUGUAUGUGUUUAUAUUGUCCAGGAAGAGAAAGAAAGAAAGAAAACUGUCCACCCUUUUCAGAAACCACUGAUUUUCCAUUGUAAAGAAAGAAUUAAAAAAAAAAACAAACAGAAGUUCCUUGCUUGCUGAUUGAUUUGGAAGUAAGAAAAUCUGCCCUGAGCAUCCAUUGUUCCUGCAUGGGUAAUGAAACAUUUGCUCUGGGAGCUUUGGUCACUCUGCUACUCACUUGCAAGGUGCUGGGAAGCUGUUCUGCAUUCAGCAAUGCUGCAGCACCUUGUGGCUCGAGGUGUGCUUGAUGAACAAGGUUGAACUGGAAUCUUUGAGCAAGAAUCCUCUUAAGUCUGAACACUGGAAAACUGGUGAAGAGUGAAGUGGGAAAUACAGAGUGUGAGCUCCCAGGCUCCUGUGCCUGGCGGACACUGCAACAAGAUCCAGCACAGGUGAGAUCUCUCCUGGCUGGUUGAAUCUGAUCUAAAUCUGCACAACUGCUGAAGGUCUAAUCCCACUCCAUACCUUUACACUCAUCUCCACUUCAGCAUGACUUCAUGCCACCUAACAAACCCUACAGAAACAGUAGAGUGGUUUCUUUUCAGAUGGCUUAGGUCUGCAAGAUAGCUGAGUGCAGGGAGGAGGCAGUGAUGUCUAGUGAAGGUAGCUCGUAUCUCUCUGCACAAGUCCACUGCUCUGCAGCUUGGGACGAAGAGCUGCUGCUUGUUCCUGAGCCAACAGAUUCUGACUAGCUGCACUCACUGCUGAAGAGCAGCAUUUUGCUGCACAAGCCAUCAUAUCAGCUUUACGGUCAUGGUAAUUUCUCCACGGCAGGCAGAGGAGCUAGCCCUCAGUGAGGCAUGCAGUCAUGUUAUGCUUUGAACAUAAGCUGAUUUUGCCUUGGAAGUAAGAUACCACAUUUCCUGGCACCCACACACUGAGCAUUCUCUCCUCUCACACACAUGCAGCCAGUUUUCAGCUUUGAAUUCUCUGUGUUGAGAAUAGUGAUAGCCCACUCUCCCCCCAGCCCCCAGAUUUGUUCACCGUGGGUGAUCAGCCAUUUCCAGCUUCUUCAGAGACAAAACCUUUCUUUGCUUUAAUCUUUGAGGGCUGCAGAAGUGUCAGAGCAAUGAAAGAUGGGAAUGAAAUUCUCUGCCAGCCUUCAUGCAAUUAUUAAGCACUACAUUCAGAAGCUUUACUUUGACAAUAUAUGAAUAAAGGCAAAAACAGCAUUUCACGGCAGAUUAUCCAUCCCACCUGGGUCAGGACAGGAUGCCAUGAUGCACAGUGCCAAAAAGAACACGGUCUGACUUUGAGCCAGGCUGGAGUUUCAGAGUUAGCAGCUGAAAUCGCAUUUCAUCACAGGUGGGAGAACAUUUCAUGGGAAGAGAGGAGACCUGAUGCACACUGAUUGUGGGUGUUCACCUCACAGCCGUGUGGCAGUUCUGCCCACAGCAGGGGGUUGCAACUCAAUGAUCUUUAAGGUCCCUUCCAGCCUAAGCCUUUCCACCUAUGAUUCUGUUGAGAAUAUUUGUUUGCUUUGCCUGAGCAGGUAACACUUGCAGAAUAGAGGCCCUUUUCAUCCAAUGGUGGAUGAAGGCUAGCAAGGUGACUGCUUCAGGAAGAUGCUGUU